This 898-nucleotide ribosomal RNA is filed under the name Fusarium melanochlorum. Its description in RNAcentral is "LSU rRNA". It matches the Rfam family "Eukaryotic large subunit ribosomal RNA", at positions 38 to 964 of the family's 3401-position model. The record is from RNAcentral. Lineage: Eukaryota; Fungi; Ascomycota; Sordariomycetes; Hypocreales; Nectriaceae.
GCAUAUCAAUAAGCGGAGGAAAAGAAACCAACAGGGAUUGCCCUAGUAACGGCGAAGUGAAGCGGCAACAGCUCAAAUUUGAAAUCUGGCCCUUGUGGUCCGAGUUUGUAAUUUGUAGAGGAUGCUUUUGGUGAGGUGCCUUCCGAGUUCCCUGGAACGGGACGCCAUAGAGGGUGAGAGCCCCGUCUGGUUGGACACCGAGCCUCUGUAAAGCUCCUUCGACGAGUCGAGUAGUUUGGGAAUGCUGCUCUAAAUGGGAGGUAUAUGUCUUCUAAAGCUAAAUACCGGCCAGAGACCGAUAGCGCACAAGUAGAGUGAUCGAAAGAUGAAAAGCACUUUGAAAAGAGGGUUAAAUAGUACGUGAAAUUGUUGAAAGGGAAGCGCUUGUGACCAGACUUGAGCCCGGUUAAUCAUCCAGCCUUCUGGCUGGUGCACUUGGCCGGCUCAGGCCAGCAUCAGUUCGGCGCGGGGGAUAAAGGCUUCGGGAAUGUGGCUCCUCCGGGAGUGUUAUAGCCCGUUGUGUAAUACCCUGCGCUGGACUGAGGUUCGCGCAUCUGCAAGGAUGCUGGCGUAAUGGUCAUCAGCGACCCGUCUUGAAACACGGACCAAGGAGUCGUCUUCGUAUGCGAGUGUUCGGGUGUCAAACCCCUACGCGUAAUGAAAGUGAACGCAGGUGAGAGCUUCGGCGCAUCAUCGACCGAUCCUGAUGUUCUCGGACGGAUUUGAGUAAGAGCAUACGGGGCCGGACCCGAAAGAAGGUGAACUAUGCCUGUAUAGGGUGAAGCCAGAGGAAACUCUGGUGGAGGCUCGCAGCGGUUCUGACGUGCAAAUCGAUCGUCAAAUAUGGGCAUGGGGGCGAAAGACUAAUCGAACCUUUCUAGUAGCUGGUUUCCGCCGA